AGUCAACCUAACCUAUGGACGGGAAUAACCUCGGGAAACUGAGAAUAAUGCCCGAUAGAACAUUAUGCCUGGAAUGGUUUAUGUUCCAAAUGAUUUAUCGCCGUAGGAUGGGACUGCGGCCUAUCAGUUUGUUGGUGAGGUAAUGGCCCACCAAGACUAUUACAGGUACGGGCUCUGAGAGGAGUAGCCCGGAGAUGGGUACUGAGACACGGACCCAGGCCCUAUGGGGCGCAGCAGGCGAGAAAACUUUGCAAUGUGCGAAAGCACGACAAGGUUAAUCCGAGUGGUUUCUGCUAAAGAAACCUUUUGUCAGUCCUAGAAACACUGAUGAAUAAGGGGUGGGCAAGUUCUGGUGUCAGCCGCCGCGGUAAAACCAGCACCUCAAGUGGUCAGGAUGAUUAUUGGGCCUAAAGCAUCCGUAGCCGGCUCUGUAAGUUUUCGGUUAAAUCUGUACGCUCAACGUACAGGCUGCCGGGAAUACUGCAGAGCUAGGGAGUGGGAGAGGUAGACGGUACUCGGUAGGAAGGGGUAAAAUCCUUUGAUCUAUUGAUGACCACCUGUGGCGAAGGCGGUCUACCAGAACACGUCCGACGGUGAGGGAUGAAAGCUGGGGGAGCAAACCGGAUUAGAUACCCGGGUAGUCCCAGCUGUAAACUAUGCAAACUCAGUGAUGCAUAGGCUUGUGGCCAAUGCAGUGCUGCAGGGAAGCCGUUAAGUUUGCCGCCUGGGAAGUACGUACGCAAGUAUGAAACUAA
RNAcentral lists this ribosomal RNA (755 nucleotides) under uncultured marine group I thaumarchaeote. RNAcentral's name for it is "bacterial SSU rRNA". It matches the Rfam family "Archaeal small subunit ribosomal RNA", at positions 102 to 858 of the family's 1478-position model. Lineage: Archaea; Thermoproteati; Nitrososphaerota. The record is from RNAcentral.